This 466-nucleotide ribosomal RNA is filed under the name uncultured bacterium. RNAcentral describes it as "bacterial SSU rRNA". It matches the Rfam family "Bacterial small subunit ribosomal RNA", at positions 330 to 794 of the family's 1533-position model. The record is from RNAcentral.
CCCAGACUCCUACGGGAGGCAGCAGUGAGGAAUAUUGGUCAAUGGGCGAGAGCCUGAACCAGCCAAGUCGCGUGAGGGAAGACGGUCCUAUGGAUUGUAAACCUCUUUUGCCGGGGAGCAAAAAGCGGUACGUGUACCGCAUCGAGAGUACCCGGAGAAAAGCAUCGGCUAACUCCGUGCCAGCAGCCGCGGUAAUACGGGGGAUGCAAGCGUUGUCCGGAAUCAUUGGGCGUAAAGAGUUCGUAGGUGGCACGUUAAGUCUGGUGUUAAAUGCAGAGGCUCAACCUCUGUUCGGCACUGGAUACUGGCGAGCUUGAAUGCGGUAGAGGUAAAGGGAAUUCCUGGUGUAGCGGUGAAAUGCGUAGAUAUCAGGAGGAACAUCGGUGGCGUAAGCGCUUUACUGGGCCGUAAUUGACACUGAGGAACGAAAGCCAGGGUAGCAAAUGGGAUUAGAUACCCCAGUACA